This 958-nucleotide ribosomal RNA is filed under the name uncultured Ascomycota. RNAcentral's name for it is "eukaryotic LSU rRNA". It matches the Rfam family "Eukaryotic large subunit ribosomal RNA", at positions 1 to 973 of the family's 3401-position model. The record is from RNAcentral. Lineage: Eukaryota; Fungi; Ascomycota.
CGUUUGACCUCGGAUCAGGUAGGGAUACCCGCUGAACUUAAGCAUAUCAAUAAGCGGAGGAAAAGAAACCAACAGGGAUUGCCCUAGUAACGGCGAGUGAAGCGGCAACAGCUCAAAUUUGAAAUCUGGCUCUUUCAGAGUCCGAGUUGUAAUUUGCAGAGGGCGCUUUGGCUUUGGCAGCGGUCCAAGUUCCUUGGAACAGGACGUCACAGAGGGUGAGAAUCCCGUACGUGGUCGCUAGCUAUUGCCGUGUAAAGCCCCUUCGACGAGUCGAGUUGUUUGGGAAUGCAGCUCUAAAUGGGAGGUAAAUUUCUUCUAAAGCUAAAUAUUGGCCAGAGACCGAUAGCGCACAAGUAGAGUGAUUGAAAGAUGAAAAGCACUUUGGAAAGAGAGUCAAACAGCACGUGAAAUUGUUGAAAGGGAAGCGCUUGCAGCCAGACUUGCUUGCAGUUGCUCAUCCGGGCUUUUGCCCGGUGCACUCUUCUGCAGGCAGGCCAGCAUCAGUUUGGGCGGUGGGAUAAAGGUCUCUGUCACGUACCUUCCUUCGGGUUGGCCUUAUAGGGGAGACGCCAUACCACCAGCCUGGACUGAGGUCCGCGCAUCUGCUAGGAUGCUGGCGUAAUGGCUGUAAGCGGCCCGUCUUGAAACACGGACCAAGGAGUCUAACAUCUAUGCGAGUGUUUGGGUGUCAAGCCCGAGCGCGUAAUGAAAGUGAACGGAGGUGGGAACCCGCAAGGGUGCACCAUCGACCGAUCCUGAAGUUUACGGAAGGAUUUGAGUAAGAGCAUGGCUGUUGGGACCCGAAAGAUGGUGAACUAUGCUUGAAUAGGGUGAAGCCAGAGGAAACUCUGGUGGAGGCUCGCAGCGGUUCUGACGUGCAAAUCGAUCGUCAAAUUUGGGCAUAGGGGCGAAAGACUAAUCGAACUAUCUAGUAGCUGGUUCCUGCCGAAUUUUCCCU